Long non-coding RNA from Musca domestica (house fly), 362 nucleotides. RefSeq lists it as uncharacterized. NCBI's taxonomy places the organism in Eukaryota, Metazoa, Arthropoda, Insecta, Diptera, Muscidae. The record is from RefSeq and is a predicted model, not a curated record. The transcript has 3 exons.
GGUGAUAGUGCUACGAUCUCAAAGUGAUGAGAUACCAUUAUCGAAUAGGUUCCCCAUCACUUAUGAAAAAUAUUGAGAAUCAAUACAUAUAUGUAAAGAUUAUAGCAUCAAUUAUAAAAGGAGAGGAAACAUCGAAAUGUUUAAAAAUGUUAUCGGUUCAAAUAUUACUACGAGUAUAAUAUUGAGGGAAACCAUGGAAAAAAGUUUGAAGUCCCUAAGUAAUAUAUUCAGCGUUAUUUUAGAUUCAAUACCAGUUACAGAAUAUUCGGACACCCCUGAAACACAACUGCGAAAAGCAAUACAAGUGCUUUUAUAAAUAUUAAAUUAAAUUUAUUUUUGUUCAAGUUUUAUAGAGUAAUGUA